Sapajus apella (tufted capuchin) is the source of this 117-nucleotide long non-coding RNA. RefSeq lists it as uncharacterized. NCBI's taxonomy places the organism in Eukaryota, Metazoa, Chordata, Mammalia, Primates, Cebidae. The transcript is spliced from 3 exons. The record is from RefSeq and is a predicted model, not a curated record.
AUUAUAGGUGUGAGCCACUGUGCCUGGCCAGAAAAAAACAACUUCUAAACAGGCCAUGUCCAGGAAGAACAGAGCCUGCUCUUCCAAACGUAAAUUUUGCCAACAAAGUAUUGGCAU